CCAGACUCCUACGGGAGGCAGCAGUGAGGAAUAUUGGUCAAUGGCCGAGAGGCUGAACCAGCCAAGUCGCGUGAGGGAUGACGGCCCUACGGGUUGUAAACCUCUUUUGUCGGGGAGCAAAGAGAGUCACGUGUGGCUCAUUGAGAGUACCCGAAGAAAAAGCAUCGGCUAACUCCGUGCCAGCAGCCGCGGUAAUACGGAGGAUGCGAGCGUUAUCCGGAUUUAUUGGGUUUAAAGGGUGCGCAGGCGGCGUGUGAGGCCGGGGGAAAAGGCCGGGGCCUCACCCCCGGCGAGCCGUUGAAACUGGCGGGCUGGAGUUGGAGAGAAGUACGCGGAAUGCGCGGUGUAGCGGUGAAAUGCUUAGAUAUCGCGCAGAACCCCGAUUGCGAAGGCAGCGUACCGGCUCCACACUGACGCUGAGGCACGAAAGCGUGGGUAUCGAACAGGAUUAGAUACCCCAGUAGA
Molecule: ribosomal RNA, 465 nt
Filed under: uncultured bacterium
Lineage: Bacteria
Description: bacterial SSU rRNA
Rfam family: Bacterial small subunit ribosomal RNA
Source: RNAcentral